Molecule: long non-coding RNA, 286 nt
Filed under: Monodelphis domestica (gray short-tailed opossum)
Lineage: Eukaryota; Metazoa; Chordata; Mammalia; Didelphimorphia; Didelphidae
Description: lncRNA (ENSMODG00000038719.1)
Source: RNAcentral
GGAAAGCAAGCCCAAAGAAAACGGUAACUUCUGUACUGAGUGCAGGCCUCUAAACUCACCAUAUCCAAAACAGAUGUCAUUACCUUUCUCCUCCAUGUUUCUGAACUUCCUUGUUAUUAUUAAGAGCAUCACCAUCUUUCCAGGAACCCAGGGUACAACUUUCAUAAGUUCUGUGGGAAGGGAAGCUGAAACUUACUUCCUAAGUGAACUGACUUUGAUCUAUUCAGGUAUCUUCCUGACUCAGAGAAUUUCUAACUUGCUUAUUCAGGUAAGGAAGUUUUUCUGA